Long non-coding RNA from Lucilia sericata (common green bottle fly), 1124 nucleotides. RefSeq lists it as uncharacterized. The transcript is spliced from 2 exons. Lineage: Eukaryota; Metazoa; Arthropoda; Insecta; Diptera; Calliphoridae. The record is from RefSeq and is a predicted model, not a curated record.
UUUGGGAUAUCGCGCUGCAUUUCGAUAUCAAAAAAGUACUAAAAUACUGGAUGUUCCAUGCCUGUUGGAAGAGAGUAAUGGGGGAAAAAUGAAAUGUGUGUACAACAACAAUAUCCCAAGUCUACAUAAAAUGUAAUGUAUAGAAAAUGUUGUUGUUAAUGCUGCUGCUGCUGCGACUGCUAAUAUGUUGUUUUUGUUGUUGUUUUACAUACAAACCAACAAAAAUCUUGGAUGAAAACUGAAGUUUUUAGUUAUGCUGAAGAGCUCUGGCUAUUUAAACACGUUUUAAAAAGUUUUUGUUGUUGCUUUGUAAAAAAAUAUAAAAAAAUAAUAAAAAAUGUAUAUUAAAUAAAAUUUUAUGUAAAAAAUAAUAAUAAAUCUUUUUAACACUUUAUUAAGUUGCUAAUUGUGUUAUUAAUAUUAGAAAAGAUUUUACUUUUAUUAAACAAAAAGAAAAAAAAACUCGCUAACGCGUUUCGUAUCGAAAGUUCGAUAAAGUUUGUUUUAAUCAUAAAUAUAUAAAAUAUUAAGUGAUUAACAGUUAAAAAUUUAAACAGAAAAGAGUCUUAUAUUUUACUUCCACAAAACAUAUUCUUAUAAGAAAUAUAAACAUAUCACUAAAAAUUUACAACAAAUUUGAAAAAGAAAUUCCAAUUAAACUAAAACACUUGGCUUAAUUUAUUAUUCCAUCUGCUAACAGCAAGUUGUUUCUUUAAGUGUAAACACACCAAAAGAACGUAAGAAACAAAAAUAAACAAAAAUACUCAAGCAGCCCUACAUUGUGCAUAAAAUACAUAAAUUAUUUAACAAACUAAUCAAAACAAACUCAAGCAAAACAAUAAAAACAAGAGAAAAACAAAAUAAAAAACACAACUACAACUUGUCUUAUUAAAAUAUACAUUACAACAAAAACCAUAGAGUGAAAAAAACCAAAACAACAGCAACAUCUAUUUAGCAAAACACGACAGUAGAAGGCAGAAAAAAAACAACUUGACACGACCUCCCCAAAGUUUUUCUUAAUUGUGAGAGAGUAAGUGUUUAAAGAAGAAAAAAAGUUUGUGUACACACGAAUCUAGUUAUUUCUGUGCCGAACAGCCCCUGUCGUUUUUCCAACAACAAACCAA